GUUUAGUAGUCUCCUCACACUGACGCGCAUGAAAUUUGGUGCCGUGACUCGGAUCAGGGGACUUCCCUUAGGAGAUCAAUCCCCUGUCCUCCUGCUCUUUGCUCCGUGAGAAAGAUCCACCUAUGACCUCAGGUCCUCAGACCGACCAGCCCAAGAAACAUCUCACCAAUUUCAAAUACAGACCCCACUGAAAACUGGACUGUUCAACUCACCUGGCAGCCACUUCCAGAGCUCCUGGAACUCUAGCCCAAGGCUCUCUGACUCUUUCCCAGAUCUUCUCGGCUUAGCAGCUGAAGACUGACACUGCCGGAUCGCCUCAGAAGCCUGCAGGACCAUCACAGACGCUCUAGGUAACUCUCACAGUAGAAGAGUUGCAGGGUGUUUAAGUUUGAAGAUACUGCCUGAUCCAUCGUUUCACAGAGAAAGAAGCUGAGGUUCAGAGGAGGUAAGUGACCUGCCUGACCAUACACAGCUCUAGUUUUAGAGCCCGGACUAGAGCCAUCUGGUGCCCUUUACAUCUAACUUCCUUAGAGAUGCAUUUACCAUGAAGCCACUAAAGCUUAAACUUCAGGGCCCCUCAAUUGCAGAGGCCUCUUCCAUGCCCCUUGCAGAACAUGAGCAAUGUGUUGCCAUGGCCAUAUAGGUUUUGUAAAAUCUGCAAAAGAAAGAUAUUUUAAACAGGAUCAGUUAAGAACACUCUCUUCCCAUUCUGACUUCCCCAUCACACUUCCCCCUCAUUUAAAGGAGCACUGGAGUGGCCAAGGAUAUUGAAUGUGUAUAACUUCAUAUUAUUUUUCCAAAAGAAGCCUCUACAAAACCUGGAUCCACCUCACCUGCAUUUAUAAUGUUAAUAAUACAUGUUAUUGAUUAUUCCAUGACCAUCCAUGAACCUGCUACUUAACGCAGGAAUUUAAACAUAACAAAAACUUACUUUAACUCUGAGUUCUGCCCCUCUCCCAUCCUCCCUCUCCCUCAGAGAUAGCCACUAUACUAAUUUUGUGUUUAUUGUCCCGUUGUCUUUUUGUUUUGUUUUGACACGUCAUUCGCUUUAAUAUAAAUACAUGUUUUGACUUGCACUGAACUUUGUGAAAGAAUAUUGUACUUGGUCUUCACUCAACAUAUUGUUGCAAGUAGUUGUGAUUCAAUCAUUUUCACUGCUGUUUAAUAUUCCAUUGUGUGAAUGUAUCAUAAUUAGUUUACUCAUUCUCCUGUCAAUGGGCAUUUGGGUUGUUUCAAAAAUUUUUGCUAUUUUGAAAGGUGCUGGUACAAAGAUUUUUGUAUAUAUUUUUGAAUAACCAUGUGCAAGAGUUUCCUUUGGGUAAAUACCUUGGAGUAGAAUUGCUGUUUCACAGAGUUUAAACAUGUUCACCUUUAUGAUAUAAUGUUAUGUUGUUUUCCAAAUCAUUUGGAACAAUAUACAAUGUAUGAGUGAUACAUUACAUAAGAGACCUAUUGUUUCAUCUCCUUUUCAAUACUUGAUAUUGUCAGGCUUCCUAUUUUCCCAAUUGUGUGGGUGUAGAAUGGUAUCUUUUUGCAGUCUGGCUUUCGAUUUCUUUAAUUACUAGUUAAGUUGUGCAUCUCUUCAUGUCAUUUGCAAUUCUUACAACAAUCUUGUAAGUUAGGGAUUAUCAUCACAAUGUGAUAGAUAUAGAAAAUAUGACACAGAGAGGUUAAGUAACAUAUCCAAGGUUACCCAGCUAGUAAGUGGUAGACCAAGGAUUCAUACUCAGUGUAAGCAAAGUUCUCACACCAAUUCUGUUAUAUUAACCACCUUAUUUCUUUGCUACAUAUGGUAUGGAAUAAAGAAUCUUGGAGAAGUUGCUGUUCCAGGUCUUGCAAGAUUGAAAACCUAAUCAUUGGUAAGGCUUUCUUUCCACAAGAUUGAAUUAGUAGCCAUUAAUCCACCGAGGCUAAUGUCUGUGCCCUUUGGGUAUUUGAAUUUAUCAAAACAAGUCUCUGCAGAAGUGAAAUGACCUAAUCGAUGUAGUUCUCUGGGUUUGUGAAGUGGGAACAUUAUUCUGUUUGCUUCAUGAUGAAUUAUUGAACUAAUACUUAAAUCAUUCCAUAAGUACAGAGUGAGGCUGAGCAACCAGGAGACACAGAGCUAAGAAAAAGUUGGCUUUUAAUAUCAUUCUCUGAACCAUUAAUCUGUCAGGAAAGAGGAAAAGAUGUCAUAUUUUAUUACAAAGAUGCCUAGAAUAUGCAAUUAAUCUAAUUACAACAGUUAUUAUUAUUUUUUAAAAAAUCAGUGCUUCCUGUGCCCUGGGCUCCAUAAUCCCUCCAGCCCAUGAAGUGACUUAACUGGGGAGAGUGGUGUUUCUAUCCUGGGCUGUUCCCAAGAAGCCACUGUCCAAUCAAGGUGUCUGUGAGACACCUUGAAAGAAAGGGAGCUGUGUGGGACAACCAAUUUUUAUUUGUCUAUCUCUCUGCUCUGCCUCAGGGACAUAGGAACAGAGUAAACAAAUGCUAUAAAUUCCUGCCCUAGGCACUGAUUUUUGAAGGAAUUGAAAAGACAAACAACAACUGUAACCCUGUAGUUUUGGAUGCAAAACUGUCCUAGCUUUAAGGUGUCUUGCAUAUCCUCGGUCCAGAUGCUUUCAAUAACUAGCCAAGAGAUAAAGAAUGAGUUCCUUUGUGGGAAGUUUGAAAAUAAAUAUGUCUGCAUCUUCACUUUGUAAUCUCUGGAAAAGGAUGCUCAUGGGUAUUUAAAGAAGCUGGCUCUGGGCAGCUGAAAAGGCAGGGAGAAAAGCCCACUUCAUUUUUUUAAAAAUAGCUUUAAUGAUAUAUAAUUCAUAUGCUAUAAAAUUUACCUUUUAGAAAUAGACCUGUGACUUUUAGUAUAUUCAUAGAAUUGUACAACCAUCAUCACUAUCUAAUUUUAAAACAUCCUAAUCCCCUCAAAAAGAAAGCUUGUACUGGUUAGCAGUCACUUGUAUAUUCUACGUGGAAGUCCCUUAUCAGAUAAAUGAUUUGCAAAUAUUUUCCCCAUUCUGUGGGUUGCCUUUUCACUUUCUUGAUAUUAUCUUUGAAGCGCAAAAGUUUUUAAUUUUGAUAAGGUUCAAUUUGUCUCUUUUUUUCUGUUGUCACUUAUGCUUUUGGUGUCAUAGCUAAUAAACCGUCAUCUAAUCAUAGGUCAUGAUUUACUUCUACGUUUUCUUAUAAGAGUUUUAUAGUUUUAUCUCUUAUUUUUAGGUCUGUAAUCCAUUUUGAGUUAUUUUUUAUAUAUGAUGUGAGUUAGGACUCCAAAUUUAGUCUUUUGCAUGGAGAUAUCCAGUUGACCCAGCACCAUUUGUUGAAAAGACUAUUAUUUCUCCAUUUAAUUUUCUUAGUAUUAUUGUUGAAAUGAAUUGACCACAAAUAUAAUGGUUAAUUUCUGGACUCUCAGUUCUGUUCCACUGAUCUAUAUAUCUAUUCAUAUGUGAGUAUUACACUAUUUUGAUUACUGUAGCUUUGUAGUAAGUUUUGAAAUCAAGAAAUAUUACUUUUCCAUCUUUGUUCUUUUUCAGAUUUUUUUUCUAUUCUGAGUCCCUUGUACUUCUGAAUGAAUUUUAGAAUCACCUUGUUGAUUUCUUUAAAUCAACUUGAAGGAAAAUUGGCAAUUGCCUUCAAACAGGCAAUUUGGAUUUUGAUAGGGAUUGCAUUAAAUCUGUAAGAUCAAUUUGGGGAGUAUCAUCAUCUUAACAAUAUUAAGCCUUUCGAUCCAUGAACAUGGUCUGUCUUUUAUUUACAUUCUUUCAAUGAUGUUUUGUAGUUUUUGGCAUACAAGUCUUGGGUUUCCUUUGUUAAAUUUGUUCCCAAGUAUUUUAUUCUUUUUGAUGCUAUUAUAAAUGGAGUGGUAUUCUUAAUUUCAUUUUUGGAUUGUUUAUAGCUAGUGUAUAGAAAUAAAAUUGAUUGCUGCAUAUUGAUCUUGUAUCCUGAUCAAGUAUCCUGAUUACUGAACUCAUGUAUUAGUUCUAAUAAUUUUUUGUGGAUCCCUUAGGAUUUUCUAUAUACAAGAUUAUAUCAUCUGCUAAUAGAGAUAGCUUUACAUCUUCCUUUUCAAACUGGAUGCCUUUAUUUCUUUUCCUUGCCUAACUGCUCUGGCUAGAACCUCCACUACAAGGUUGACUAGAAGUAGCAAGAGCCAGAUAUUCUUGUAUUGUUUCUCAUCUUAAGCAGAAACUUUCACCAUUAAAUAUGAUUUCACUGUCAGUUUUUUAUAAGUGCCGUUCAUUAGCUUGAGGAAGUUCUCUUCUAUUCCUAGUUUGUUAAGUGUGUUUAUUAUUUUUAAAAAGUGUUAGAUUUUGUCAAAUGCUUUUUCUUUGUUUGUUUUGUUUUGUUUUGAGACAAGUUUUCAUGCUGUCGCCCCGGCUGGAGUGCAGUGGUACAAUCUUGGCUCAUUUCAACCUCUGCUUCCCAGGUUCAAGUAAUUCUCCUGUCUCAGCCUCCCAAGUAACUGGGAUUACAGACACGUGCCACCACACCCGGCUAAUUUUUGUAUUUUUAGUAGAGAUGGAGUUUCACCAUUUUGGCCAGGCUUGUCUCAAACUCAUGAAUCAAGUGAUCUGCCCGCCUUGGCCUCCCAAAGUGCUGGGAUUACAGGCAUGAGCCACCAUGCCUUCUAUUACAAAGAAAACCAAAUGAGCCAAAAUGCUGCUUGCUAAAUCCAACUGAGUAAUGAUUCCCCAUGAGAGGAUCAGUCAUUUUAACUGGGUGUGAAGAAGACUUCCCCAGUCAGAUGCACCACGAAGACGCUAGAAGGUGUGCAGAGGACAAACACCUUUCCUCCUUCCCAGCUGCCCUUGCGUUGAACCCAUCCCUAGUUUCAUUCGCCACCAUCAAAACUCUGGACUACGCAAAGAACUGGCCAUCCUAUGCAGUACACCUCCUUUCCAUUCCCUUUUAAUGGAGCAGUCUGGCUCCCCCAGGCCAGGGACAAAAGGACCAGGCCAGUGGCUGCUGGACAUCCUACCUGAAGGGAGCAUCACCCUCAUUCUCAGAAACAACCUAACACAGCAGGCAAACCAUCUAUAUAGUGCACUGUGCUCACUGGCAUGGGGACACAGCACAGGAGUCCUUCCAAUCCUGCCCCAGGUGGGGAUGCCCCUCUGGUCUACCUCAUCCCCAAGGAACUGGUGGGACCACUUUUCCCUUGAAGGCCUAGUCUGUCCACUCUGAAACCCACCACCUGAGGGUCUGGUCUCUGCUCACCAUUUCAACAACAGCCUCAUCUAGCCCCUGAUGCAGGCUAACUUGAAAUGCCCUCCUACUGAGGGACUGGCAGUGUCUCAAGUUCCCAGCCUACCCUGUCCCAGGGCAUUUAUAGUAGAGGAGGGGCAAUGCAGGGAGGAUCCUAUCUUGAAUCUCCUCCCUCCUCUCCAGUACCUUGAUUGCCCCUUAGGUAUUCCAAUGUGUCUCUUCCGCGCAUCCCACCCCAACCCCACCGUGUUCCUAAUAGGAGAGCUGCUCUUGGAUUCUAAAAUAUCAUUGUGAGGGGCUGGGUCUUCUUUGUCUGUGCUUUCCCAGAACUAGCAUGAAGACUGUCAAAGAGCAGAUGUUCAAUUCAUGUUUGGUGAAUGACAUAAUUCAGAUGUUUGUCCCUUCUAAAUGUCAUGUUGAGAUAUAAUUCCCAGUGUUGGAGGUAAGGCCUGGUGGGAGGUGUUUGGACCAUCAAGGAGGGUCCCUCAUGGCAUGGUGCUGCCCUGGCCAUAGUGAGCGACUUCCCCUAUCUCUGGUCAUUUGAAAGCAUGUGGCACCUCCCACCCCCGCUCUGCUUGGCUGUCUUUCCUCCCACUGUUGCCACGUGACAUGCCUGCACCACCUUCCCCUCCUGGCAUGAGGAAAAGCUCCCCAAGACCUCCCCAGAAGCAGUUGCUGGUGCCACGCUCAUAGCCUGGUGAACUGUGAGCAAGUCAACCUCUUUUCUUUAGCAAUUACCCAGUCUCAGGUAUGCCUUUAGAGCAACACAAGAACUGCCUAGCACAAGGAACAAAAGAGCCAGUGAGCAAGUGUUCUCCUUUAUGAUGAUUUAAUUUCUCCAACAUUCUUGAAUACACAUAGCAACUGUGAGUAUAUAGCUUUUCAUUUUAUCACAACAAAAGACUUAAAGAAAUAAGAUUUUUAAACGUCAAAGGUUGCCAAUCAAUCGACACUUUUUUCCCACCAUCUUGUGAUCCCAACUGAUGCAGUGUUCAGUUGUUUCACAGUUUAAAGCCAAUCGCUAUUCCAAUGCUAUUUCUUCUUGCACUAGAUCAUAAUCUAGUAAGUAAAAAUUUCCAAUUUGUUUUACAAAAUACAAGAACAUCACUCUUCAAUGUGAUAAACAGCAAUAAUUGUGUGAGGCACCUAAUUCAUGAACUUAGAUUCUGAAUCAAAGUCAAUCUCUUUCAAAGGAACACGCGGUAGACACAGAAGAGAAAGAGGAAUCUAUAAGUGGCUUGCAAAUAACCAGAACAAAAGAAAGACACGUCUUGGGCUCCCCACCUCACCCCCAAAUACUGAGAUGGUGGACAGGCUUUUCAAUCUCUUAGUGAGGAUUGCCUGAGACUUCACUAGGGCUGAAAGGACCUGCUAGCCCUGGCCCUGGCGCUAUCCCUGGCUACCGCUCUGGCUCUGGCUUGCUCUUCCUCCUCUCUCAGAGCCUCCUCAUACCGGGACUUGUAGGUACUGGCAACGGUAUCAUUGAGCUUGGCCACAAACUCCAGGACUUUCAUUUUGCUGGUUUCAGCACGGGCCCUGGGACCCCACAGGAACUCGUAGCGUGGAGGAUCGCUGCUGGGCACCUGCUGGUACUCCAGGUACCCCUCUCGCACCAAAUCUUUGGUGACAAGCUCCUGGGGCUCCCCAUAGAUGAAGUGCUUCCUACCCUUAUACAUCCCCAAUGCAUUCAGGCAUUCCCACAUCUCUUCCUCAGUGGCACGGUUGCCAUGCAUGAAGAUGGUGCUCAGGAGAACCAUCAGGAGCCCGCUCAGGGGAAAGCCCCCGCCAUCGCUCAAGCUUCCUUGAUUGGGAAAGUCCAGCUUGCCAACAAGCACAUAGGACUGACGGCUGGGGUCCAUUUCCUUCAGGUAGAGGCCAAAGACCACCUCUACGUUCUCAGUGCUUCUCCGGAGGAUCUCAGGGAAGUGCUGCUUGUACUUUCUGUUGAUAACCUUCAGCAUGGCUUCCCUCGUAAUGGGCUCUUUCCUUAUAUACUUGUUGAGGAGGAACUGCACCAAUUCGCCCGUCUUCGUGUUCAGAAGAUCUCUUCCUGUGCUCUCAGAGGAGGACGGGCCAUGGAAGGAGUUGGGACUUUCCCCCUUUUGGCCCUUGGCACCUUCAUCAGAACUUGUGAGUGAAACAGCUGAAGCAGGAGAGCUGGGGUAGCUGGCUCUCUGGGACUCCUGAGGAAUGCCUGCAUUGGGGAAGCUCUGGGGAGGACUCUGGCAUGCAGGAGAGGAGGAGGAUGGCAGCUUUUCCUUCUCUGCUGCGGUGGCUUGAGCACCCCCGAGACAUUGGUCUUCACCUCGAGCCUGGCGGCGUUUCUCACGGGCACGGCGCUUACUCGCCUGACCGCGAGGCAUGAUGACUGUGCUUAGGGGCAGCAGGCAAGAGGGUGCAGGAGGUGGGCACCUGGAGCAGGAGGAACAGAGUGUGUGAGCCCCUCAGUGGGGAGAUAUCACCUUAAGGAGGCCUCCAUGCAGGUGUCCUUGAGGACCCUGCUCCAUAGCCCCACCAGGCUCCUGUUCUCCAGGGCAGCCUGUCCCCUGGGGACCCUGGGGAGGAAGUUACAGUGCUCCUUGCCCUGCAGCCUGCCAGCCCUGCCUGAGACCAAGAUCCUUACUUCUCUGUUUCCUCUGAGGGGAAACUGAGGCCAUCUGGGCUUGACAUCCCUGUCUGGGGCCUCAAACCUCUGACAUAGGGAGGGAUCCUGAGGUCCUCUUACUAAUUUGGGGUCGGUGGCUCCACGCUCCUCAGGGUCCUCACUAUCUGAGGCCCUUCCCUUCAGGUCAAGGCCCUCACCUUCCUGAGACCUCACCCCCACCCCAAGGGGAAAGAAAGCAUGAGUCCCCUCCAGCCACCCCUGUUCAUGGCCUUUCUGGACUGGUAGCAGGGUCUGGACUCUCAGAGCCUCUGAUGUUCUGGGUUCGGUGGCCCUGUUAGUCCUCACUUAGGCAGAAUGUGGGACAUGUCGCUCAGCCCACCAGAUUCCUCCAGCCUCAGCCCCAGGCCCUGUCCACUCUGAGCCCCCAUAGGCUAGAAGUGAGGGGCCCUCUAUCCGACUCCCUCUCCUGAGGUUUCCCAGGCCUGAGAGGGAAGCCAGCCUUUGUGGUGCCCCCGGAUCCAGGUGAGUGCUCUCCUCAGCUCUCACUCAGAGUCUUAACCCUGAUUCCCAUCAUUACCUGGAAAACACUCCUGUCUUAACCUGAGACUUAUUACCUCAUACCAGCCCCUCCAUUCUGAAAUACCCCUAGGAAGUAGUGACGGUCACCUCAGCUGGCCACAAAUGCUCAUCAUGUCCCAAGACUGGGAGCAGUGGAGAUUUUCUGUGUUGGCCCCACAGUUACAAAUGGGUGGUCCCCUUGGUCCUCAGGGUCUUCACCUUGACUCCUGGCAAGAGCUUAACAACCUCCAGCAGCUGUCUUGAGGCUGUCCCUUUUACCCAGGCUCUUCACCUCCCUGAGAUGCCCUGGGAGGAAAUGCCACUCACCAUGCCAACGUGCCUGGGUCUCCCAGAGGUGACAGUAGGGGUGGUGCUCUAUGUGGCCUACUUCUCCCUGGGAAGGGCUCCCUCUUCUCAUUCAGUGUUCUCCCCUUGACUCCCACCAGGGACUAAGUCCUCCUUCCCACCCCACCAUGAAUGGGGCCUCGCCCAUUGGUGCAAAAGAGCCACUUCUCUGAAACGCCACCCUGACCCCUUCAGGACACGAGGGGUCACCAAAUGCUAAUGGCUCUGCCCAUGGUUUCCCAGGGCGCACAGCAGAGCUGAGACUCUAUGUGGUCUCCUGUGUUUUGGAAUGGCCAUUUUCCUCCCUCCUCACGCAGGGUUUUUUUUACCUUCACUCCCCACAGAGCCUGGGACUCCUUUCUCCGCUGACCUGGGGCAGCCAGUCUUGCAACCAAAGCCCUCUGCUGAAACGCUCCGUGCAGCCCUGUCUACUGAGGGCUCAGGAUCUUCACCUUGCUACUUGACCAGUCCUGGGACUCCAUCCUCAGCUCACUACAGGCAACACCCUUCAAAGCAAGAUCCUUGCUUCAAUGGGACCUCAGAUUUGGACAUUCAGGGUAAGCCACAUCCUCUCAAGGCUGUUUAGGGCCUUCAAGGCGUGACAGCAGGGGUGGGACUAUAGGGGACCCCACUGCUCUGCCUCAGGGUUCUGAACCUGGCUCAGGGUGGGACCUCCAACUCUUUGGGACGCGACUCAGGUCGCUCCACUGACCUGAGUCAGCCAGGCCCAGGCCCAAGCUCUCACGUCCCAAAGUUGCUAGAGGGAAAAGUCACGGCAUGCCCCGUCUGGCUAUGCCUGCACGGGGUCUCCCAGAGCUGACAACAGGGCAGCAGAAACCUGGCUCUCUGGCUCUCCCUGGCUCUCUUGCUUUUUCCUUUUUUUUUUUUUUCUUUGUGACAGACACGGGGUCUCACUCUGUCGCCACGCUCAUGGCGUGACCAUGGCUCACUGCAGCUUCGACCUGCUGGGCUCAAGCGAUCCUCCUGCCUCAGCCUCCCGAGUCGCUGGGGCCACAGGCGCCGGCCACCAUGUCCCGCUAGUUUUUGUUCUUUUCUUUCUUGGAGAGAGAGGGUCUCGCUUUGUUACUCAGACUGGUCUGGAACUGCUGGGCUCGGGUAAUCCUCCCGCCUCAGCCUCCCAAAGCACUGGGAUCACAGGUGUGAGCUACCAUGCCCGCCUCGUGGGCCUCCCAUGUUUGGGAGAGGUCUCCUCAUCAGCAUCAGGGACCUCAUUUCGAUUAGGGCCUAGGAGUCCAUCCCUCUGCAGAAUCGAAGCCUCACCCUCACACCAAACCCUCCCCUCCCUGGUGCCCUCUCAGAAGUCAGUGCCACAGCCUGACUGGAGCCUCCCGCGGCUGAGGGAGGUGGGUACCCGGGGGCGGGGGUUGGGGGACACAGGGUGGUCGCCUUGGCUGCGUGUGGUGGGCCUUUCAGUCCACGAUCAGGGUCCUUACCUUGAUACCCAACCAGUCUUGGGGUUCUGGUAGCCUGAGGUGGCGUCCCUCAGACGAAGAUCCUCACUUCCGGCAGCUUCCCAGGCGGGCGGAUGUCGGAGUGAGCCACAUCCAAUCAAGUCCCUGCUGGGUCUCCCAGGGCUGAAAGCGGGGCGGGGCUCUGCUCGGGCCCCCUUUUUGCAUAGAAGUCCUCUCCAGUGUACUCAGUGUCCUCUCCGGGACUCCAAUGAGUGUCCAGUUCUCCUCCCUCAGCUGAACUGUGCUUUUGCCUUUAGACAGAGUCACUACCCUCGUUAGAGCAUCUAAGCAGAAAAAAAGGGGUCCUCAGCUGAGGUCUUUGCUAUGGCUGACAAGAUUAAGCAUUUUUUUAUUUUUGUUUUUAUUUUUUGCUGAUAACCAUUCCCUUAUGUCACUCUCGGUCCUCACCUUGAUUCGAGUCAGUUUCUGGGGCUCCACUAUGCACAGCUGGGGCUUCCCCCACCAGACCAAGAUUCUCCCUUCCCUGAGACCCUCCAGGCCGAAAUGACAGUCACCUCAACCUGACAGCUCUUCCUGAGCUUCCCAAGUCACAGGAGAGGCUUUUGGUUUUGGACCAUGAGAAUGGCUUACAUAUUCAAAAGGUUGGAUUUGGGAAGCAAUGCUAAGCAGUGGAAUGGACAUCGACAUAGAGAGAUCAGCUCCACACUUAUACUCUGCCACUCAACUUCCCCAUGUGACUUGAGGAUCACUCUAACUCCAAAACAUAGCAAGCUCGCGGAACAUCAGGGUUCAUGCAAAGUAUUCCAAGGAGCCCCUUGAAGCAACAGAAUGGUCUGUCUCCUUUCAUACCACUAACGUGAACACAAAUAUAGAAUAGCGGUUGAUUUCCAAAGAGUUGUUGUUGCAAGCGUAGCAGAAGUGAGGCUACUGUGACCAAAUGGGCUACAGAAAGGCUGCAAAGACAGAACUAGAGACGAUGAAGAGACUCAGAAUUUUAGCGAUAGACAAGACCUUAGCACUGUCUUCUCAGUCUAGAGAUGAAAACAAGAGUCUAGACAAGUGAAAUUGAUAGCCAGAGUGAUAUAGCUAGAGGCAGAGUUGGACUGUCAAGCUAGAAAUCUUGGUUCUUUAAGCUAUACUAUCUGUCUUGCUUUUCAAACUGUUCAAUGUAAUUAUGGACUACCAGCAAAGCAGGUUUGUACAGUACAGACGAGCACGUAGCAAGCAGAAUUGAAGUUUCAUUCUGUCUUGGUCCCAACUCCUAAAGCUCCAUAGACAGUGGGCACUUCUUCAUAUCAAGAGACAAGAAUCUUUUCAUAUGUGCCAUGUGAAAAUGAGAGCCAACUGUUUGUAUCUCAUCUGGAUAGAGAAAACCUAAAUUAAAAUUGUCUUAGAAUUUUAAUGUGUAAGGGCACAUUUGUAAAAUUUGAAUUUAUUUGAAAGUGGGUUAAUAUGUUUGCAACCUGUCAAAAUUGCCCUCUUUGAGUGAAAAAAAACUCGAUUCAGGGUUUCUAAAGUAAGGGAAUCAAAUCUUUUUAGAGCCAACUAAACUCACUUAGAAAAAGAAAAAUAUUUCAGCCAAGUCUUUUUCUGCACAUGGCUCUUUCAUAAAUACUCUUCUUAAGUAGAAACAAGUCUGUAGCUGUUUUUCAAUCAGUUCUUAAAGUUAAGACCCCUGUGACUUUCUUAUACAUAUUCAGACAAAAAAUACGUGUUACUGAAAUUUUAUUCACUUCCUCCCACAAACGUUAGGAGAAGCAUACAUUAAAUAUAAACAUGUUCCCAUUUCUACUCAGAUACAAUCCCUUCUUUCUUAUAGUGAAACUACUGAUUCAGUGUAGCAGUCAAAGACAAAUCUAAGUAAAUACAUUUGACUCAAAACCUAUGUAUCAAGAAUAAA
This 12019-nucleotide long non-coding RNA is filed under the name Homo sapiens (human). RNAcentral describes it as "non-protein coding lnc-AP1S2-2:6". The record is from RNAcentral. Lineage: Eukaryota; Metazoa; Chordata; Mammalia; Primates; Hominidae.